CGCGAUUCGCCCUUCGGGGUGCCCAGGCGCGAAAACUUUACAAUGCUGGCAACAGCGAUAAGGGGACCUCGAGUGCCAGGAUACAAUCUUGGCUGUCGCGAUGCCUAAAAAGCAUUGCAUAGCAAGGGCCGGGCAAGACCGGUGCCAGCCGCCGCGGUAACACCGGCGGCUCGAGUGGUAACCGCUAUUAUUGGGUCUAAAGGGUCUGUAGCCGGCCGGAUAAGUCUUUUGGGAAAUCCAGCUGCUCAACAGUUGGGCUUUCAGAAGAUACUGUUCGGCUCGAGACCGGGAGAGGUGAGAGGUACUUCGGGGGUAGGGGUGAAAUCUUGUAAUCCUUGAAGGACCACCAGUGGCGAAGGCGUCUCACCAGAACGGAUCUGACGGCAAGGGACGAAAGCUAGGGGCACGAACCGGAUUAGAUACCCGGGUAGUCCUAGCCGUAAACGAUACUCGCUAGGUGUCAGCCACGGUGCGACCGUGGUUGGUGCCGUAGGGAAGCCGUGAAGCGAGCCACCUGGGAAGUACGGCCGCAAGGCUGAAACUUAAAGGAAUUGGCGGGGGAGCAC
RNAcentral lists this ribosomal RNA (566 nucleotides) under uncultured archaeon. RNAcentral describes it as "bacterial SSU rRNA". It matches the Rfam family "Archaeal small subunit ribosomal RNA", at positions 312 to 879 of the family's 1478-position model. The record is from RNAcentral.